This 890-nucleotide small RNA is filed under the name Pongo abelii (Sumatran orangutan). RNAcentral describes it as "retained intron". The record is from RNAcentral. Lineage: Eukaryota; Metazoa; Chordata; Mammalia; Primates; Hominidae.
CGGCCCCCAGCCGCCCCCAACCCCGCCCCACGGGCCCGGCGCCAUGAGUGAGCUGGAGCAACUGAGACAGGAGGCCGAGCAGCUCCGGAACCAGAUCCGGGAUGCCCGAAAAGCAUGUGGGGACUCAACACUGACCCAGAUCACAGCUGGGCUGGACCCAGUGGGGAGAAUCCAGAUGAGGACUCGGAGGACCCUCCGUGGGCACCUGGCAAAGAUCUAUGCCAUGCACUGGGGGACCGACUCAAGGUGUGUGUGUGCGUGGGCUGGCGCUGUGGGCCGACUUUCUAGCAGGCUGUGGGAGCAGCCUCAGAUCUGGCGGGGUGAGCAGGCCACCAGAAUACCCAGAGUAUGUCUGGAAAAACGGUGACUCCCAGACAUGCCCGCCAGACCUGGACAGGCAGGACCAUGCUGGUGAGAACUUGGGGGCUGCAGCUGGAGACUCUGGUGGCUCACGCCUGGAAUCCCAGCACGUGGGGAGGCCAGGGCAGGAUCACUUGAGCUCAGGAGUUGGAGACCAGCUUGGGCAACAUAGUGAGACCCUGUCUCUACUAAAAAUUGAAAAAUGAGCUGGGUGUCGUGGUGCUCGCCUUGUAGUCCCCGGCUAUGCGGGGGAGGCUGAGGUGGGAGGAUCGCUUGAGCCUAGGAGUUCCAGGCUGCAGUGAGCUGUGAUGGUGCCACUGCAUUCCAGCCUGGACAACAGAGAGACCCUACCUUCUCCCACCCUAUGGGAAGGGGGUGUGUCUUGUUUUCAUGUCACCCUUCUGCUCUCCCUACACCGUUCCCCACCAGGCUGCUGGUCAGCGCCUCCCAGGAUGGGAAGCUCAUCAUCUGGGACAGCUACACCACCAACAAGGUUCACGCCAUCCCGCUGCGCUCCUCUUGGGUCAUGA